Molecule: ribosomal RNA, 468 nt
Filed under: uncultured bacterium
Lineage: Bacteria
Description: partial 16S ribosomal RNA
Rfam family: Bacterial small subunit ribosomal RNA
Source: RNAcentral
GACGAACGCUGGCGGCGUGCUUAACACAUGCAAGUCGAACGGACAGGCCCUGCUUUUGUUUGUUUCUCGUUUGGCGAACGGGUGAGUAACACGUGAGUAACCUGCCCUUAUCUUUGUGAUAUCUUCACGAAACUCGGGCUAAUACCGCAUAUGAUCUCCUGCUGCAUGUUGUUGGUUGGAAAGUUUCGGCGGUUGGGGCUGGACUCGCUGCUUAUCCGCUUGAUUGUGUGGUAGGUGCUUACCAAGGCUUUGACGGGUAGCCUGCCUGAGAGGGGGAACGGCCACAUUGGGACUGAGAGACGGCCCAGAAGGGUAUGGGAGGCAGCAGUCGAGAAUAUUGCAGAGUGGGGGGAAGUGUGAUGCAGAAAUGCCGGGAGCGGGAUGACGGCUUUCGGGGUGUAAACAGAUGUGGAAGGUGACGAAGAGAGAGUGACGGUAAUGGGUAAAGAAGCAACGGCUAACUACGUG